UUAUUUUAAUUAUAGUAAAAAUUAGUGAUAGUUAUUUGGACUUAGAAUUCUACACACCAACCAAUGUUUGAAGAAAUUGAAUACCUCAGCAAGGAGAAAUUGCUAUAAGAAUAUUAACAUCUAGAUUAGAGAAGGAGGGUGGUCAACAUCCAAGCAGGUUAGAAGCUUUUUUCUUUUGAAUUGGUGAAUUUGAUUUUUUUUCAAAAAAAUUAUGCUUGUUAAUUGCUUGUGAAUUAAGAUAUGAGUGAAAUUUUAGUGAAGAACAAUGGUUCAAUUAAUAUUUAUUGAGGUUUUAAAACAAAUAUAGUAAUUGAUUAAAAUUUACUAAAGAUUUUCUUAGGAUUGUUUAGGAUUUGUUUAGGAUUUAGGAUUUGAUUAGGGUUUAGAAUUUGGUUAGGAUUUGAUUAGGAUAUGAAUAGGAUUUGGUUAGGAUUUCAUUAAAGUUUGGUCUAGAAUUUAGGAUUUGGUUAGGAUUUGAUAUGGAUUGCAUUAAGAUUUGAUUAGAACUUUUCUAAGAUUUACUUAGGAUAUAUUUAGGAUUUAUAUUUUUUAAUACUUCUUUAAGGUUAUUGUCAUUUUUUUAAGGUUUUUAUUUAUUUUUUCUUUAGGAUUUCUUGAUUAUUAUUAUUUUUUGAGAUUUAAGUGUAUUCUGUGUUGUCUAUUUUGAGAGAGACCAAAUUAUUAUAUUUAUUUAAAUUAUAUUUUUGUGAUACUACUCUUAAAAAAAAAUAAAAAAUAAAAUAACAACAGUCAAUUUCUACUUCCUAAUAAGCAUUUAGAGAUCUAUUACAUUGAUUUAUUACUAUCAUACAAUUAUUGCAAUUCCUCCAUUUUUUUCCAUUAACUAGUAUGUUGCUGUAAACUAACUGCUUCUAUUUCGACACAAUUCCUUUACGGCAUCAAGUCUUCUUAUUCUCUCUGUUUCCUUCUUGCCGAAGGUUCACGACACAUUUUUCAAAAGAUAGAGUGUGUCGGUGGUGUCGGUGAUGUCAGGACCUGAACUGGGUUCACGAACUGGUCGCCAAAAGUUGCAUCUUUGAACACACUGAAGCUGGUGAAACCUAGUGUUCCGACCCUAGGUGUUAGUGGCCCAGGUUGACUGAGCCGACGUCCGAAUCACUGUCACGCGUUUCGUCGGAACGUGGAUAAGUAUUUGGUCUGUAUGGGAUAACCCAGUUGUGACAAAGUCGGUAAUUGGAAAAAUGUAAUGGGAGCCUUACAGUACGAUAGGUUUUGCCUCGGCUACUCGGAAGAAUCAGACAAAAGGAUGCAGAGAUCGGUCCACAAACUUCGAAAAGGAAAGGGAAAACCGGCUGAAAACUUGUGCUCAUCAUCAAGCGACGACUUGAAGAAGCAAAGACUUUACUAGCAGAGAGUCGGAACGCUCACCAACAACAACAAAAGUGUGUUUUGUCGUGUCAUGUCACGCGUUCUGCAGCAUCUUUUAGAGUUUUUCCGAACUGCGAACUUGCUACUGCCUUCCACAAGACAUGCACUGGAAAAGUCUGGUGAUUUAUUAUAACUACUACUGUGUUCUUAUAUGUUUACCACUUAGAGUAACAUACUUUUGUUCAUUUCCGAAAAAUAAUCAUGUUUGUUUAGCAAAUUAUAUCUGUAUGUUUUAAUACGCUAAGUAAAGAAAUUGUGUGAGGUAACGACCCGAAAUAAAGAAACAAUGAAACAACGAUAUCCGUUGGAGGGCGGCAUACAUUGCUGGAAAGCCUUAUGAAAAGCAUUUAGUUCACCGUCAGCAAAUUAGACAGAUAACCAAUGAUGCAUUUGAAAGCAAAAGAGAUGGAUGUAGUCCGCACGCUUUUAUAGUAAAUACUCAUAUAUUACAUCUUAUUCGAAUACAAGGAUAGCUUUGAUGGUAGCGUGCAUACCAACACAUAAAUGAAGAGGCAUAAACAGUACAAAUAAAUAAGGAGACCAACGAUAUAGUAAAAGAUAACAUGGAAUGCAUAGAUCUGACAGACAUCUGUUCAGCAACGUAGCUAGUAAUCAGUUUGUCCUAUUGUACUUAACAAGGAACAUGAAUACGGCUGCCACUUGACAGAGACUCCAGCUGCAUCUUCAACUGCAUUGAGAGCAAACCCAACAAUUUAACCGAAGGGAGCACCAAAACAGCCUGCAAUCUCUUAGAAUUUGAUGUUUUUGUGUUAGAAUGCAGGAAUAGCUACACCAACAAAAGACAAGACCAUGUUCCAUAAGAGAUUGAAGACCUGUGCAAAGAUGUCCAACAAGUUGGUCUUGACUCUAACCUCAGAGGGGUUUCCUCAGGAACCCCCCGAACAACCGAGAAUGUCGUUGAA
RNAcentral lists this long non-coding RNA (2312 nucleotides) under Physcomitrium patens. Its description in RNAcentral is "long non-coding RNA (PPAT_LNC000833)". Lineage: Eukaryota; Viridiplantae; Streptophyta; Bryopsida; Funariales; Funariaceae. The record is from RNAcentral.